This 85-nucleotide non-coding RNA is filed under the name unclassified sequences. The record is from RNAcentral.
AUGUUACUGCCACCGGGUAGGAAUGCUUUAGGCAUUCAGUCUCAUCGUUAGGUCUUAGAAGAUGGACAAUCAAAAUAAAAGGAGC